Cebus imitator (Panamanian white-faced capuchin) is the source of this 2213-nucleotide RNA transcript. It is a transcript of the gene named heat shock protein HSP 90-beta-like, with no coding region annotated. The record is from RefSeq and is a predicted model, not a curated record. The transcript has 2 exons. NCBI's taxonomy places the organism in Eukaryota, Metazoa, Chordata, Mammalia, Primates, Cebidae.
AUGUGUUCUGUGGAACAGUUUGGGAAAAACUGUUCCAGUAUUGGCUUUAAGUUUACUUCAGGCCGGGACUGGAUCGCUGGAAUUAUUUAUGAUCUCAUAAAUAAUUUGGAAACCAUUGCCAAGUCUGCUACUAAAGCAUUCAUGGAGGCUCUUCAGGCUGGUGCAGACAUCUCCAUGAUUGGGCAAUUUGGUGUUGGGUUUUAUUCCGCAUACCUGGUGGCAGACAAAGCGGUUGUGAUCGCAAAGCACAACAAUGACGAACAGUAUGCCUGGGAGGUUUCUGCUGGAGGCUCCUUCACUUUGCAUGUUGACCAUGGUGAGCCCAUUGGCAGGGAUACCAAAGUGACCCUCCACUUUAAAGAAGAUCAGAGUACUUAGAAGAGAGGUGGGUCAAAGAAGUCGUGAAGAAGCACUCUCAGUUCAUAGGCUAUCCCAUCACCCUUUAUUUGCAGAAGGAACAAGAGAAUGAAAUUAGUGAUGAUGAGGCAGAGGAAGAGAAAAGUGAGAAGAAGAGGGAGACAAAGAUGAUAAAGAAAAGCGCAGGAUCGAAGAUGUGGGUUCAAAUGAGGAGGAUGACAGAAGAAAACUACGAAGAUCAAAGAGAAAUACAUUGAUCAGGAAGAACUAAACAAGACCAAGCCUAUUUGAACCAGAAACCCUGAUGACAUCACCCAAGAGGAGUAUGGAGAAUGCUAAAAGAGCUUCACCAAUGACUGGGAAGACCACUUGGCAGUCAAGCAAUUGCUGUAGAAGGUCAGUUGGAAUUCAGGGCAUUGCUAUUCAUUUCUUGCUGGGCUUCCUUUGACGUUUUUGAGAACAAGAAGAAAAAACAACAACAUCAAACUCCAUGGCCAUUGUGUGUUCAUCAUGGACAGCUGUGAUGAGCUGAUACCAGUGUAUCUCAACUUUAUCCAUGGUGCGGUUGACUCUAGAGAUCUGCCCCUGCACAUCUCCCAAGAAAUGCUCUAGCAGAGCAAAAUCUUGAAAGUCAUUCUCAGAAACAUUGUUAAGAAGUGCCUCGAGCUCUUCUCUGAGCUGGUGGAAGACAAGAAUUACAAGAAAUUCUAUGAGGCAUUCUCUAAAAAUCUCAAGCUUAGAAUCCACGAGGACUCUACUAACCGACGCCACCUAUCUGAGCUGCUGCGCUAUCACGCCUCCCAGUCUGGAGAAGAGACGACAACUCUGUCAGAGUAUGUUUCUCGCAUGAAGGAGACAUAGAAGUCCAUCUAUUACUUCACUGGUGAGAGCAAAGAGCAGGUGGCCAACUCAGGUUUCGUGGAGUGAGUGCGAAAGAGGGGCUUCAAGGUGGUAUAUAUGAGAGAGCCCAUUGACGCGUACUGUGUGCAGCAGCUCAAGGAGUUUGAUGGGAAGAGCCUGGUCUCCGUUACCAAGGAGGGUCUGGAGCUACCUGAGGAUGAGGAGAAGAAAAAAAUGGAGGAGAGCAAGGCAAAGUUUGAGAACUUUUGCAAGUUCAUGAAAGAAAGCUUAGAUAAGAAGGUUGAGAAGGUGACAAUCUCCAAUAGGAGAUGCUGCUGCAUUGUGACCAGCAACUACGGCUGGACAGCCAAUAUAGUGUGGAUCAUGAAAGGCCAGGCACUUUGGGACAACUCCAUCAUGAGCUAUAUGAUGACCAAAAAGCACCUAGAGAUCAACCCCGACCACCUCAUUGUGAGACACUGUCACAGAAAGCUGAGACAGACAAGAAUGACAAGGCAGUCAAGGACAUGGUGGUGCUGCUGUUUGAAACCGUCCUGCUCUCUUCCGGCUUUUCCCUUGAGGAUCCCCUGACCCACUCCAACCACAUCCACUGUAUGAUCAAGCUAGGUCUGGGUAUCGAUGAAGAUGAAGUGGCAGCAGAAGAGCCCAGUGCUGUGGUUCCUGAUGAGAUUUCCCACUCCUGAGGGUGAUGAGGAUGCAUCUCUCAUGGAAGAAGUCGAUUAGGAGUUCAUAGUUGGAAAACUCAUGCCCUUGUAUAGUGUCCCAUGGCUCCAACUGCAGCCUCGAGUGCCCCUGUCCCACCUGGCUCCCGCUGCUGAUGUUUAGCGUUUUCUUUCUGUCCUGUCCUUGUGUUGAAGGCAGGAAACAAGGGUGUCAAGCCCCCAUUUCCUCCCUACUCUGACACCAGCACUGGAUGUUGUGUAUUGUGGAAUUUUUUUUAGUUUGUUCAUUUUGUUCUGAAAUUAAAGUAUGCAAAAUAAAGAAUAUGCCAUUUU